Molecule: transfer RNA, 77 nt
Filed under: Patescibacteria group bacterium
Lineage: Bacteria
Description: tRNA-Lys
Rfam family: tRNA
About the family: Transfer RNA (tRNA) molecules are approximately 80 nucleotides in length. Their secondary structure includes four short double-helical elements and three loops (D, anti-codon, and T loops). Further hydrogen bonds mediate the characteristic L-shaped molecular structure. tRNAs have two regions of fundamental functional importance: the anti-codon, which is responsible for specific mRNA codon recognition, and the 3' end, to which the tRNAs corresponding amino acid is attached (by aminoacyl-tRNA synthetases). tRNAs cope with the degeneracy of the genetic code in two manners: having more than one tRNA (with a specific anti-codon) for a particular amino acid; and 'wobble' base-pairing, i.e. permitting non-standard base-pairing at the 3rd anti-codon position.
Source: RNAcentral
GGAUCUGUAGCUCAAUUGGUCAGAGCAACCGGCUCUUAACCGGUAGGUUGCGGGUUCGAUUCCCGCCGGAUCCACCA